Small nuclear RNA from Lonchura striata (white-rumped munia), 156 nucleotides. Its record names the gene U1. It matches the Rfam family "U1 spliceosomal RNA". Rfam says of the family: U1 is a small nuclear RNA (snRNA) component of the spliceosome (involved in pre-mRNA splicing). Its 5' end forms complementary base pairs with the 5' splice junction, thus defining the 5' donor site of an intron. There are significant differences in sequence and secondary structure between metazoan and yeast U1 snRNAs, the latter being much longer (568 nucleotides as compared to 164 nucleotides in human). The record is from Ensembl. NCBI's taxonomy places the organism in Eukaryota, Metazoa, Chordata, Aves, Passeriformes, Estrildidae.
AGACUUACCUGGCAGGGGAGGCACCAGGAUCAGGCAGCUGGUUUUCCCAAGGCAGGGUUCAUCCCCUGCACUCUGGGUGUCCUGACCCCUGGGAUUUCCCAAAAUGCAGGCUGCAUAAUUUGUAGUAACAGAGGACUACUGUAGCAGGGGCCUUGG